Molecule: long non-coding RNA, 199 nt
Filed under: Elaeis guineensis (African oil palm)
Lineage: Eukaryota; Viridiplantae; Streptophyta; Magnoliopsida; Arecales; Arecaceae
Description: long non-coding RNA (EGUI_LNC022928)
Source: RNAcentral
GUCAGAUACACCACCAGCUAGAGCAACAUGGUUUGAGGCUGGCGUACAAAAGGAAACAUGGACUUCAAAGGCCAUGCACAUGGAGAAGGGAGGAGGUGGCAGGCAUUGGGUGAGGAUUUGCUAGAUGUUGGUGUUGGGAGCGCAAAAGCAAUAAGAUGGAGGUGCAGAUGCGGGCAUGGGAACUAGGAACUACAAUUUC